AACGCGAAGAACCUUACCCAGGCUUGACAUACAGUGGAAGUUGCCAGAGAUGACAACGCCUCGGGCCGCUGACAGUGCUGCAUGGCUGUCGUCAGCUCGUGCCGUGAGGUGUUGGGUUAAGUCCGCAACGAGCGCAACCCUUAUCGUUAGUUGCCAACAGGUAAAGCUGGGAACUCUAGCGAGACUGCCUGGGUUAACCAGGAGGAAGGUGAGGAUGACGUCAAGUCCGCAUGGCCCUUAUGUCUGGGGCUACACACGUGCUACAAUGGCCGGUACAGAAGGCAGCGAAACCGCGAGGUGAAGCAAAUCCCAAAAGCCGGCCCCAGUUCAGAUUGUAGUCUGCAACUCGACUACAUGAAGACGGAAUUGCUAGUAAUGGCGAGUCAGCAACAUCGCCGUGAAUACGUUCCCGGGCCUUGUACACACCGACUGUAC
Molecule: ribosomal RNA, 435 nt
Filed under: uncultured bacterium
Lineage: Bacteria
Description: bacterial SSU rRNA
Rfam family: Bacterial small subunit ribosomal RNA
Source: RNAcentral